Long non-coding RNA from Eurytemora carolleeae, 212 nucleotides. RefSeq lists it as uncharacterized. The transcript is spliced from 3 exons. The record is from RefSeq and is a predicted model, not a curated record. NCBI's taxonomy places the organism in Eukaryota, Metazoa, Arthropoda, Copepoda, Calanoida, Temoridae.
AGAAGCCAGCUAAUCAAUGGGAAUGGUAUAUCUGCACUGAGGUUAGUCAGAGGAUCCAAGCCAGCAACUUUUCAAAUCUAGCCGAAGCGUUCAUGACAAUUCCCAGGAAUUACUCUUUCACUAAUGGCGGAAUAUUUGUUUCCUAUCAUCAGAAGAUGGGAAACCUACUGGAUCUAAUCAACUUCCUCAAGAUUGAGAACACCCGAAGCAUG